AUACGAUUUUUACCUGCUUCAAUUUAAUUCCAACCUAUACUUCCCAAAAGGCUAUCAGAUUCCACAGUGAAACAGAACGAAAAUUAUAUCACUGCAUUUUGGCAUAUACUCAUACAUCUAGCACUACUAAACCACACAGAUCACUGCAUAGAAGAUCCAGUGUCUACAGGAAACUGUAGGCACCCCUGUAGCUUAAGCUGUAUGCACAUUCCAUAGCCACUACAUCCUCUUCAAAAGAGCAAUCUACUUUAAGCAAGAAUUAUUGCCGAUAAAAUGGCAAAGGAUAUUCAGAAAUCAUGAUGGAAUAUUUUCACAGAAUGAAGAAGCAUGUAGUAAGUUUUCUAGUAACAUAGCAAUACUUCUAAAGAUAUUUUGAAAGGUAUCAUAAUCAAAACCAGAAAGACACUUGCAAAUCUGCACCAUCUAGAGCGUCUACUUGCAUCAUCUAGAGCGUCUAAAGACAAGUCCAACUAGAGGUAGAUUCAUACAAAUAAUAACAAACGGAAAACAUGACAUCAGGACACAUGGCCGAGAUUCAAGAGCUAUUGUACAACUAUCAAAGGGGUGAAGGAUGAGGCCGCCGGCUACACAGGUUCUUGGAAGCACAAAAAUUUGAGCUUGGAAGUAUAUGGUGUCAGGGCAUGGCAAAUUUUGAUAGUAGGUAAAACCUUCAGAUAUGAUCCUGCUAAGGAAAACAUCAAGGUAGGCAAUGAUUUUUGAUGUCCUCAUUCAUCUGGUCAUCUGGUUUAGGCAAUGAGGCUUCAUCAAAGGUGGCAGUAGGCAGGCUUCAGGCUUCAGAUAUCUCGGCUGUGGUCCUGUUACAAGCUCUAGUAACCAUAACUUUUUCUCCGGGGGGCAGAGUU
This 863-nucleotide unclassified non-coding RNA is filed under the name Hevea brasiliensis (rubber tree). Lineage: Eukaryota; Viridiplantae; Streptophyta; Magnoliopsida; Malpighiales; Euphorbiaceae. The record is from RNAcentral.